This is a long non-coding RNA of Suricata suricatta (meerkat), 663 nucleotides long. RefSeq lists it as uncharacterized. The transcript has 4 exons. The record is from RefSeq and is a predicted model, not a curated record. Lineage: Eukaryota; Metazoa; Chordata; Mammalia; Carnivora; Herpestidae.
GGAAUAUCCAUUUCAAAGGCCUGUGAUGUAGAGCAAGUUUGCCUUCAGUCUUUGAACUUCCCAGAAGAGCAACCAGCUUGAGAGAGACUUGGAAAUGUUGGUGUUUUCACUUCCGCAGCUCCAGAAAGGAAAGAAAUAUACCAUGUGGAACCUGCACGCUCUGAUGUCCACUGCCAGCCAUUAGCCCCAGUAAUUUGAUUCAAGGAUAUUUAUGACCUACUUUUUGAAUCACGGCAACCCAGGUGGUGCUAUUUCAUAUAUUCCCUUGCUGAGAAGCCAACGGACAAGCAGAAAUUGUGAGAGGGUGGGUGGACUUCUCUGGAAAUUCUGCUAAGUCUGUUGUGCAAACACAGGUCUGUUUUCCUAGGGUUCCUUGCAGGGCUGGAGCCUUGGGGAUGCCUCUUCUUGUCUUCAUUCUCUCAGACCCUCACUGGCAAUGACUGGAUCUCAUCUGGCAGAGAGCAUGGGCCCCUCCUCUUUCCAAAAUGCCUGCCUUUCAUUACGAAUGGCGUCUUGAGGUGGACACUGACGAUGCCCCUCCCCCUGGCAACCACUACACUGAGCACAGACAAUGCAGGAUCCUUUGAUUCAGCUUUGCUGGCAGCUGCUCUUCCCCCAAAUACUUGAAGAACUUCCAAUUCGGCGUUUGGGAAGAGGCGAGGA